ACUGCCCCUAGAGCAUAGCAGGAGUGGUUGCUGUGUCACAUGUGCUUCAGUAGGUAGCAGAGAAGGAAGAGACUAUGUCUAUGCUCAGUGUUCUCAUGUAUGAACAUCAGAUUGGUUAGUAGCAGCCUAACACU
This is a small nucleolar RNA of Meriones unguiculatus (Mongolian gerbil), 134 nucleotides long. Lineage: Eukaryota; Metazoa; Chordata; Mammalia; Rodentia; Muridae. The record is from Ensembl.